UUACUUGGAUAACUGUGGUAAUUCUAGAGCUAAUACAUGCAAACAGAACUCCGACCAGAGAUGGAAGGAGUGCUUUUAUUAGAUCAAAACCAAUCGGUGGCGGGCUUGCUCGUCAUCGUACAACUUGGUGACUCUGAAUAACUUUACGCUGAUCGCACGGUCUUAGCACCGGCGACGCAUCUUUCAAAUGUCUGCCUUAUCAACUGUCGAUGGUAGGUUCUGCGCCUACCAUGGUUGUAACGGGUAACGGGGAAUCAGGGUUCGAUUCCGGAGAGGGAGCCUGAGAAACGGCUACCACAUCCAAGGAAGGCAGCAGGCGCGCAAAUUACCCACUCCCGGCACGGGGAGGUAGUGACGAAAAAUAACGAUACGGGACUCAUCCGAGGCCCCGUAAUCGGAAUGAGUACACUCUAAACCCUUUAACGAGGAUCAAUUGGAGGGCAAGUCUGGUGCCAGCAGCCGCGGUAAUUCCAGCUCCAAUAGCGUAUAUUAAAGUUGUUGCGGUUAAAAAGCUCGUAGUCGAAUUUGUGUCUCUUGCCGCCGGUUUAUCGUUCGCGGUAUUACUGGCGAGUCACGAGACGUCCUGCCGGUGGGCUUAGCUCGCAAGGGCGGCCCAACUCAAUCCUGCCGCGGUGCUCUUCAUUGAGUGUCGAGGUGGGCCGGCACGUUUACUUUGAACAAAUUAGAGUGCUUAAAGCAGGCUAAAACUUCGCCUGAAUACUGUGUGCAUGGAAUAAUGGAAUAGGACCUCGGUUCUAUUUUGUUGGUUUUCGGAACCCCGAGGUAAUGAUUAAUAGGAACGGAUGGGGGCAUUCGUAUUGCGACGUUAGAGGUGAAAUUCUUGGAUCGUCGCAAGACGGACAGAAGCGAAAGCAUUUGCCAAAAACGCUUUCAUUGAUCAAGAACGAAAGUUAGAGGUUCGAAGGCGAUCAGAUACCGCCCUAGUUCUAACCUUAAACGAUGCCAGCUAGCGAUCCGUCGACGUUCCUCCGAUGACUCGACGGGCAGCUUCCGGGAAACCAAAGCUUUUGGGUUCCGGGGGAAGUAUGGUUGCAAAGCUGAAACUUAAAGGAAUUGACGGAAGGGCACCACCAGGAGUGGAGCCUGCGGCUUAAUUUGACUCAACACGGGAAAUCUCACCAGGCCCGGACACCGGAAGGAUUGACAGAUUGAGAGCUCUUUCUUGAUUCGGUGGGUGGUGGUGCAUGGUCGUUCUUAGUUGGUGGAGCGAUUUGUCUGGUUAAUUCCGAUAACGAACGAGACUCUAGCCUGCUAAAUAGGCGUAUUUUGACAUCCUAAAGGCCCGCCGGCUUGGGGUUCGCUCCUUGUCGUGCGCGGUUUUUACUGUCGGCGUACAAACAAUUCUUCUUAGAGGGACAGGUGGCUUCUAGUCGCACGAGAUUGAGCAAUAACAGAUCUGUAAUGCCCUUAGAUGUUCUGGGCCGCACGCGCGCUACACUGAAGGAAUCAGCGUGUCCUCCCUGGCCGAGUGGCCCGGGUAACCCGCUGAACCUCCUUCGUGCUAGG
Molecule: ribosomal RNA, 1527 nt
Filed under: Dendroctonus ponderosae (mountain pine beetle)
Lineage: Eukaryota; Metazoa; Arthropoda; Insecta; Coleoptera; Curculionidae
Description: SSU rRNA
Rfam family: Eukaryotic small subunit ribosomal RNA
Source: RNAcentral